RNAcentral lists this ribosomal RNA (1995 nucleotides) under Lachnospiraceae bacterium P6B14. RNAcentral's name for it is "bacterial LSU rRNA". It matches the Rfam family "Bacterial large subunit ribosomal RNA", at positions 808 to 2823 of the family's 2925-position model. Lineage: Bacteria; Bacillati; Bacillota; Clostridia; Lachnospirales; Lachnospiraceae. The record is from RNAcentral.
GGUGUGGGUAGCGGAGAAAUUCCAAUCGAACUCGGAGAUAGCUGGUUCUCCCCGAAAUAGCUUUAGGGCUAGCCUUGAGUUAGACACACGGAGGUAGAGCACUGAAUAGCCGCGGGGGCGUCAAAGCCUACCAAAGCUUAUCAAACUCCGAAUGCCGCGUUGCCGAUGCUCAGGAGUCAGACUGCACGAGAUAAGUUGGGUGGUCGAGAGGGAAAGAGCCCAGAUCUACAGCUAAGGUCCCAAAGUACGUGUUAAGUGGAAAAGGAUGUGAGGUUUCGAAGACAACUAGGAUGUUGGCUCAGAAGCAGCCACUCAUUCAAAGAGUGCGUAAUAGCUCACUAGUCGAGAGAUCUUGCGCCGAAAAUGUCCGGGGCUAAAACACGACACCGAAGCUUAGGAAUCACUAUGUGAUUGGUAGGGGAGCAUUGCUAGAGGAACGAAGCGGUACCGUAAGGAGCCGUGGACUUCUAGGAAGAGAGAAUGCCGGAAUGAGUAGCGAGACGAAGGUGAGAAUCCUUCGGGCCGAAUAUCUAAGGUUUCCAGAGUAAAGCUGAUCUGCUCUGGGUAAGUCGGGACCUAAGGCGAGGACGAAAGUCGUAGUCGAUGGAUAACAGGUAGAGAUUCCUGUACUCCUCAUAAUCAGAAAUGUGGGGACACGGGUGGAGAGCCUGGCCGCAGAAUGGAAAGCUGCGGACAAGCAAGGUACCGUGUAGGGAGGCAAAUCCCCCUACUAUAACGGGAAUAUGUGAUGUGGAGCGAACCAAAGGGUAGCGAAGCAGGUGAGCCAGCCGUCGAGAAAAGCCGCUAUUGUGUUAUGAGGACCCGUACCGCAAACCGACACAGGUAGAUGAGGAGAGAAUCCUAAGGCCGACGGGAGAAGCAUUGUUAAGGAACUCGGCAAAAUGACCCCGUAACUUCGGGAGAAGGGGUGCCAUAGAAAUAUGGCCGCAGAGAAUAGGUCCAAGCAACUGUUUAGCAAAAACACAGGUCUAUGCGAAACCGGAAGGUGAAGUAUAUGGGCUGACGCCUGCCCGGUGCUGGAAGGUUAAGGGGAGUGCUUAGAGCUUGCCUCGAAGGUGCGAACUUAAGCCCCAGUAAACGGCGGCCGUAACUAUAACGGUCCUAAGGUAGCGAAAUUCCUUGUCGGGUAAGUUCCGACCCGCACGAAAGGCGUAAUGAUUUGGACGCUGUCUCGACAAUGCACCCGGUGAAAUUGAAGUACCAGUGAAGAUGCUGGUUACCCGCGCCAGGACGGAAAGACCCCAUGGAGCUUUACUCCAGCUUGAUACUGGGAUUCGGUGCGGCAUGUACAGGAUAGGUGGGAGACUAUGAUCCCGGGACGCCAGUCUCGGAGGAGUCGCUGUUGGGAUACCACCCUUGCCGUAUUGGGUUUCUAACCAUCCACCGUUAUCCGGUGGGGGGACAAUGUCAGGUGGGGAGUUUGACUGGGGCGGUCGCCUCCGAAAGGGUAUCGGAGGCGCUCAAAGGUUCCCUCAGAAUGGUCGGAAACCAUUCGAAGAGUGCAAAGGCAGAAGGGAGCUUGACUGCGAGAGCGACGGCUCGAGCAGGUACGAAAGUAGGACUUAGUGAUCCGGUGGUAUAACGUGGGAUUGCCAUCGCUCAACGGAUAAAAGCUACCCUGGGGAUAACAGGCUUAUCACUCCCAAGAGUUCACAUCGACGGAGUGGUUUGGCACCUCGAUGUCGGCUCAUCGCAUCCUGGGGCUGUAGUAGGUCCCAAGGGUUGGGCUGUUCGCCCAUUAAAGCGGUACGCGAGCUGGGUUCAGAACGUCGUGAGACAGUUCGGUCCCUAUCCGGCGCGGGCGUAGGAUAUUUGAGAGGAGCUGCCCUUAGUACGAGAGGACCGGGGUGGACUGACCUCUGGUGUACCGGUUGUUCUGCCAAGAGCAUCGCCGGGUAGCCAAGUCGGGACGGGAUAAACGCUGAAGGCAUCUAAGCGUGAAGCCCCCCUCAAGAUGAGAUAUCCCUGGCUUUA